GAUGAACGCUGGCGGCGUGCCUAAUACAUGCAAGUCGAGCGAACAGACGAGGAGCUUGCUCCUCUGACGUUAGCGGCGGACGGGUGAGUAACACGUGGAUAACCUACCUAUAAGACUGGGAUAACUUCGGGAAACCGGAGCUAAUACCGGAUAAUAUAUUGAACCGCAUGGUUCAAUAGUGAAAGACGGUUUUGCUGUCACUUAUCGAUGGAUCUGCGCCGCAUUAGCUAGUUGGUAAGGUAACGGCUUACCAAGGCAACGAUGCGUAGCCGACCUGAGAGGGUGAUCGGCCACACUGGAACUGAGACGCGGUCCAGACUCCUACGGGAGGCAGCAGUAGGGAAUCGUCCGCAAUGGGCGGAAGCCUGACGGAGCAACGCCGCGUGAGUGAUGAAGGUCUUCGGAUCGUAAAACUCUGUUAUUAGGGAAGAACAAAUGUGUAAGGAACUAUGCACGUCUUGACGGUACCUAAUCAGAAAGCCACGGCUAACUACGUG
This 497-nucleotide ribosomal RNA is filed under the name uncultured bacterium. RNAcentral describes it as "partial 16S ribosomal RNA". It matches the Rfam family "Bacterial small subunit ribosomal RNA", at positions 28 to 507 of the family's 1533-position model. The record is from RNAcentral.